Molecule: ribosomal RNA, 504 nt
Filed under: Pseudoxanthomonas sp. CA-15
Lineage: Bacteria; Pseudomonadati; Pseudomonadota; Gammaproteobacteria; Lysobacterales; Lysobacteraceae
Description: bacterial SSU rRNA
Rfam family: Bacterial small subunit ribosomal RNA
Source: RNAcentral
AGUCGACGCAGCGGGUAGGAAGCUUGCUUCUAUGCCGGCGAGUGGCGGACGGGUGAGGAACACAUCGGAAUCUACUCCGUCGUGGGGGAUAACGUAGGGAAACUUACGCUAAUACCGCAUACGACCUAAGGGUGAAAGUGGGGGACCGCAAGGCCUCACGCGAUGGAAUGAGCCGAUGUCCGAUUAGCUAGUUGGCGGGGUAAAAGCCCACCAAGGCGACGAUCGGUAGCUGGUCUGAGAGGAUGAUCAGCCACACUGGGACUGAGACACGGCCCAGACUCCUACGGGAGGCAGCAGUGGGGAAUAUUGGACAAUGGGCGAAAGCUGAUCCAGCCAUGCCGCGUGGGUAAAGAAGGCCUUCGGGUUGUAAAGCCCUUUUGUUGGGGAAGAAAUCCUGCUGGCUAAUACCCGGCGGGAUGACGGUACCAAAGGAAUAAGCACCGGCUAACUUCGUGCCAACAGCCGCGGUAAUACGAGGGUGCAAGCCUUACUCGGAAUUACUKG